GAUGAACGCUGGCGGCGUGCCUAAUACAUGCAAGUCGAGCGAACAGAUGAGAAGCUUGCUUCUCCGAUGUUAGCGGCGGACGGGUGAGUAACACGUGGGUAACCUACCUAUAAGACUGGGAUAACUCCGGGAAACCGGGGCUAAUACCGGAUAAUAUUUUGAACCGCAUGGUUCAAUAGUGAAAGACGGUUUCGGCUGUCACUUAUAGAUGGACCCGCGCCGUAAUAGCUAGUUGGUAAGGUAACGGCUUACCAAGGCGACGAUACGUAGCCGACCUGAGAGGGUGAUCGGCCACACUGGAACUGAGACACGGUCCAGACUCCUACGGGAGGCAGCAGUAGGGAAUCUUCCGCAAUGGGCGAAAGCCUGACGGAGCAACGCCGCGUGAGUGAUGAAGGUCUUCGGAUCGUAAAACUCUGUUGUUAGGGAAGAACAAAUUGUUAGUAACUGAACAAAUCUUGACGGUACCUAACCAGAAAGCCACGGCUAACUACGGGCCAGCAGCCGCAGUAA
RNAcentral lists this ribosomal RNA (513 nucleotides) under uncultured bacterium. Its description in RNAcentral is "partial 16S ribosomal RNA". It matches the Rfam family "Bacterial small subunit ribosomal RNA", at positions 28 to 523 of the family's 1533-position model. The record is from RNAcentral.